Vidua chalybeata is the source of this 321-nucleotide long non-coding RNA. RefSeq lists it as uncharacterized. The record is from RefSeq and is a predicted model, not a curated record. The transcript is spliced from 4 exons. NCBI's taxonomy places the organism in Eukaryota, Metazoa, Chordata, Aves, Passeriformes, Viduidae.
CUUAAAGGAUUACUACACAUUUUAACUAAGAUGCCUCCACUUAUCAACAAAUAAAAUUACAUUAACUGGCAGUCAAAUACAAGAAUUAUCUAACAGUGGAAUUUGGAGUGCCUUCUUAAGCUACAUAAAGAUGGAAAACCAGAACAAGUUGCCAGAACAAGUCUUGAGAGGUAGAAGCUUUCAGAAAGCCUUUUGGGGCUAAAUGAAAAGAUCCCAGAGGUCAUCAGAAAACAGCAGAUCUUCAGAUAAAGGCUCUUCCUCAAUCUCUCUAUCAUCUUCCAGCUCUGGACUGUGAUUUGCCGUUGUCACCAAGGACAUUGG